This 28-nucleotide non-coding RNA is filed under the name unclassified sequences. The record is from Rfam.
UAACCUCUGGCGAGAAUCGUGGAUGUUG